GCUAGCUAGCUACAGUACAUUAGGGUCAGGGUUAGGCUAGCUAGCUACAGUACAUUAGGGUUAGGCUAGCUAGCUACAGUACAUUAGGGUUAGGGCUAGCUAGCUACAGUACAUUAGGGUUAGGCUAGCAAGCUACAGUACAUUAGGGUUAGGCUAGCUACAGUACAUUAGGGUUAGCUAGCUACAGUACAUUAGGGUCAGGGUUAGGCUAGCUACCUAUAGUACAUUAGGGUUAGGGCUAGCUAGCUACAGUACAUUAGGGUUAGGCUAGCUACAGUACAUUAGGGUUAGCUAGCUACAGUACAUUAGGGUUAGGCUAGCUACAGUACAUUAGGGUUAGGCUAGCUAGCUACAGUACAUUAGGGUUAGGCUAGCUAGCUACAGUACAUUAGGGUUAGGGCUAGCUAGCUACAGUACAUUAGGGUUAGGGCUAGCUAGCUACAGUACAUUAGGGUUAGGGCUAGCUAGCUACAGUACAUUAGGGUUAGGCUAGCUAGCUACAGUACAUUAGGGUCAGGGUUAGGCUAGCUAGCUACAGUACAUUAGGGUUAGGGCUAGCUAGCUACAGUACAUUAGGGUUAGGGCUAGCUAGCUACAGUACAUUAGGGUUAGGGCUAGCUAGCUACAGUACAUUAGGGUUAGGCUAGCUACAGUACAUUAGGGUUAGCUAGCUACAGUACAUUAGGGUCAGGGUUAGGCUAGCUAGCUACAGUACAUUAGGGCUAGCUAGCUACAGUACAUUAGGGUCAGGGUUAGGCUAGCUAGCUACAGUACAUUAGGGUUAGGCUAGCUAGCUACAGUACAUUAGGGUCAGGGUUAGCUAGCUACAGUACAUUAGGGUUAGGGUUAGCUAGCUACAGUACAUUAGGGUUAGCUAGCUACAGUACAUUAGGGUUAGGGCUAGCUAGCUACAGUACAUUAGGGUUAGGGCUAGCUAGCUACAGUACAUUAGGGUUAGGGCUAGCUAGCUACAGUUCAUUAGGGUUAGCUAGCUACAGUACAUUAGGGCUAGCUAGCUACAGUACAUUAGGGUCAGGGUUAGCUAGCUACAGUACAUUAGGGUUAGGGCUAGCUAGCUACAGAACAUUAGGGUUAGGGUUAGCUAGCUACAGUACAUUAGGGUUAGCUAGCUACAGUACAUUAGGGUUAGGGCUAGCUAGCUACAGUACAUUAGGGUUAGGGCUAGCUAGCUACAGUACAUUAGAGAAGCUCACCAUUCAUUGUAUUCACGGCGGCAUUUUCUGAGCUUAACUGACCAAGACGCACCUCCAAAUGCCCGAAACCAGUGACAGUUUCUUUCAACCAGUGGCACAUUGGCUUUUUAGGUGAGCGUUGAUACCGCUUUGUGAUAAUAAUGUCCACUCCUCUCCAGAGUAUUGUUCUAGACGUAACGCUGCCGCGCUCCUCUCGAGAGUAUUGUUCUAGACGUAACGCUGCCGUGCUCCUCUCCAGAGUAUUGUUCUAGACGUAACGCUGCAGCGCUCCUCUCCAGAGUAUUGUUCUAGACGUAUCGCUGCCGCGCUCCUCUCCAGAGUAUUGUUCUAGACGUAACGCUGCAGCGCUCCUCUCCAGAGUAUUGUUCUAGACGUAACGCUGCCGCGCUCCUCUCCAGAGUAUUGUUGGAGGCGUAACGCUGCCGCGCUCCUCUCCAGAGUAUUGUUCUAGACGUAACGCCGCCGCGCUCCUCUCCAGAGUAUUGUUGGAGGCGUAACGCUGCAGCGCUCCUCUCCAGAGUAUUGUUGGAGGCGUAACGCUGCCGCGCUCCUCUCCAGAGUAUUGUUCUAGACGUAACGCUGCCGCGCUCCUCUCCAGAGUAUUGUUGGAGGCGUAACGCUGCCGCGCUCCUCUCCAGAGUAUUGUUGGAGGCGUAACGCUGCAGCGCUCCUCUCCAGAGUAUUGUUCUAGACGUAACGCUGCAGCGCUCCUCUCCAGAGUAUUGUUGGAGACGUAACGCUGCCGCGCUCCUCUCCAGAGUAUUGUUCUAGACGUAACGCUGCCGCGCUCCUCUCCAGAGUAUUGUUCUAGACGUAACGCUGCCGCGCUCCUCUCCAGAGUAUUGUUGGAGGCGUAACGCUGCCGCGCUCCUCUCCAGAGUAUUGUUCUAGACGUAAAGCUGCUGCGCUCCUCUCCAGAGUAUUGUUCUAGAUGUAACGCUGCAGCGCUCCUCUCCAGAGUAUUGUUGGAGACGUAACGCUGCCGCGCUCCUCUCCAGAGUAUUGUUGGAGACGUAACGCUGCAGCGCUCCUCUCCAGAGUAUUGUUGGAGGCGUAACGCUGCCGCGCUCCUCUCCAGAGUAUUGUUGGAGGCGUAACGCCGCCGCGCUCCUCUCCAGAGUAUUGUUCUAGACUUAACGCUGCCGCGCUCCUCUCCAGAGUAUUGUUGGAGACGUAACGCUGCCGCGCUCCUCUCCAGAGUAUUGUUGGAGGCGUAACGCCGCCGCGCUCCUCUCCAGAGUAUUGUUCUAGACGUAACGCUGCCGCGCUCCUCUCCAGAGUAUUGUUCUAGACGUAACCCCGCCGCGCUCCUCUCCAGAGUAUUGUUGGAGGCGUAACGCUGCCGCGCUCCUCUCCAGAGUAUUGUAGGAGGCGUAACGCUGCCGCGCUCCUCUCCAGAGUAUUGUUGGAGACGUAACGCUGCAGCGCUCCUCUCCAGAGUAUUGUUCUAGACGUAACGCCGCCGCGCUCCUCUCCAGAGUAUUGUUCUAGGCGUAACGCUGCUGCGCUCCUCUCCAGAGUAUUGUUGGAGGCGUAACGCUGCCGCGCUCCUCUCCAGAGUAUUGUUCUAGACGUAACGCUGCAGCGCUCCUCUCCAGAGUAUUGUUCUAGACGUAACGCUGCCGCGCUCCUCUCCAGAGUAUUGUUGGAGGCGUAACGCUGCCGCGCUCCUCUCCAGAGUAUUGUAGGAGGCGUAACGCUGCUGCGCUCCUCUCCAGAGUAUUGUUGGAGACGUAACGCUGCCGCGAUCCUCUCCAGAGUAUUGUUCUAGACGUAACGCUGCCGCGCUCCUCUCCAGAGUAUUGUUCUAGACGUAACGCUGCCGCGCUCCUCUCCAGAGUAUUGUUGGAGGCGUAACGCUGCAGCGCUCCUCUCCAGAGUAUUGUUCUAGACGUAACGCUGCCGCGCUCCUCUCCAGAGUAUUGUUGGAGGCGUAACGCUGCCGCGCUCCUCUCCAGAGUAUUAUAGGAGGCGUAACGCUGCUGCACUACUCUCCAGAGUAUUGUUGGAGGCGUAACGCUGCCGCGCUCCUCUCCAGAGUAUUGUUCUAGACGUAACGCUGCCGCGCUCCUCUCCAGAGUAUUGUUGGAGGCGUAACGCUGCCGCGCUCCUCUCCAGAGUAUUGUUCUAGACGUAACGCUGCCGCGCUCCUCUCCAGAGUAUUGUUGGAGGCGUAACGCUGCAGCGCUCCUCUCCAGAGUAUUGUUCUAGACGUAACGCUGCCGCGCUCCUCUCCAGAGUAUUGUUGGAGGCGUAACGCCUCACCUCAUUGUAGACAAUCACAACUGUUGUCUUGGAGUUUCACCUCAUUGAUCAGUGGUUUCAGUUUGUAUCCUUCAAUUUGACAAGCUGAUCAUGGCGAAAUGGAAAAUACUAUUUCCCGCUGUGUAAACAUUACAAAUCGGCUGAAGAGCUCCUGAUAAAGUUGGGUAGCUGAUAUUCAGAGCUUAAAUAGCCAAGUUGAUUAGUCCUGUUUUCCAAAUGGUGGCCUACCACAUGGAUGGGCGUUCAUAAAGUUCCAUUGAGGCCGACAUGGUAGGCUGCACCCCAGUAAGCACGAGGGAAAGUCUUUUAUUGGUCCUGGCCAGACCUCGUUGUUGUUGUUGGUGUUUUACAGGUGGUAGGCUUAGCACAGAUAGGCAUUCAUACAAUUACAUUUAGGCUACGCUAUAGGCUACGCUAUAUAGGCUCCACUAUAGGCUCCGCUAUAGGCUACGCUAUAGGCUACAAUAUAGGCUACGCUAUAGGCUACGCUAUAGGCUCCGCUAUAGGCAACACUAUAGGCUACGCUAUAGGCAACGCUAUAGGCUACGCUAUAGGCUACGCUAUAGGCAACGCUAUAGGCUAUGCUAUAGGCAACGCUAUCGUCUACGCUAUAGGCUACGCUAUAGGCUACACUAUAGGCUACGCUAUAGGCUACGCUAUAGGCUACGCUGUAGGCAACGCUAUAGGCUACGCUAUAGGCUACGCUAUAGGCUACGCUAUAUAGGCUACGCUAUAGGCUACGCUAUAGGCAACGCUAUAGGCUACGCUAUAGGCUACGCUAUAGGCUACGCUAUAGGCUCCACUAUAGGCUACGCUAUAGGCUACGCUAUAGGCUCCGCUAUAGGCUACGCUGUAGGCAACGCUAUAGGCUACGCUAUAUAGGCUACGCUGUAGGCAACGCUAUAGGCUACAAUAUAGGCUACGCUAUAGGCUACGCUAUAGGCAUUUUUUUACAUUUUACAUUUUAGUCAUUUAGCAGACGCUCUUAUCCAGAGCGACUUACAAAUUGGUGCAUUCACCUAUAAUAUCCAGUGGAACAACCACUUUACAAUAGUGCAUCUAAAUCUUUAUAGGCUACGCUAUAGGCUCCGCUAUAGGCUACGCUAUAGGCUACGCUAUAGGCUCCGCUAUAGGCAACGCUAUAGGCUACGCUAUAGGCAACGCUAUAGGCUACGCUAUAGGCUACGCUAUAGGCUACGCUAUAGGCUCCGCUAUAGGCAACGCUAUAGGCUACGCUAUAGGCUACGCUAUAGGCAACGCUAUAGGCUACGCUAUAGGCAACGCUAUAGGCUACGCUAUAGGCUACGCUAUAGGCAACGCUAUAGGCUACGCUAUAGGCAACGCUAUAGGCUCCGCUAUAGGCAACGCUAUAGGCUACGCUAUAGGCUCCACCUCAGUUAGCAGGGACAGAUGCCUGUGUUUGGUUCAGGUCUGGAUCAUCCCUGAUUUGGCACAAACAGAUGUUACAAAUAUUUAAUUCAUAGACUUUCUUUCAGAACUGAAAAUCAACCUGAUUUCAACUGGUGGUCGUUGGGAAAGGAGGACCAAAAUGCAGCAGGAUUGUGGAUGUUGACGUUUUAUUUACUCCAAAUAUGAACACCAAAAUAACAAACAACGAACUCACGAUCAACACAACAGUCUUGUAAGGCUCACUCACGCUAGACGAGAAACAGGCAAAACAAGAAACAAUCCCCCACAAAUGACAAACACCCCCUAAUAUAUAGGACUCUCAAUCAAAGGCAAAUAGACAACACCUGUCUUCAAUUGAGAGUCCCCACCCCAACUAACCAAACAUAGAACCAGACUCACCAGACCAAACAUAGAAAUACAUGAAUACAAAAACAGUGCCCAAAAACCCCCGGAAAUACACAAAUCAAAUGCCCCACUAAACAAACCACCACCCCGAACCACAUAAAACAAAUACCCAUCUGUCACGUCCUGACCAAACUACAAUAACAAUUAACCCCUUAUACUGGUCAGGACGUGACAUCAACAUCCGGAAAAGACUCCUUUUCAAUGUCCUGUAAAUUAUGUCUUCACUUUUCAUUCAGAGCCUAAACUUUAACGGCUGGAAGAUAUGUAUUUUCUGUCAUUUCAAUGUCAUUUGCUUCCUGGGACUAUUGUAGUUUUGCAGUGAGCACAUUUGGUUGCCAGUUUAGUCUCUCCUAGGUCGGCAGAACGGCCCUGAUUGGAUUGUAUGUAUUUCAUCCACUCCAGUUAUGGACACUGAACCAAAAUAUACAUGCUACAUGGAAUGUUUCGGUCCCAUGUUUCACGAGCUGAAAUAAAAUAUCCCAACUUUUAUCCAUUCGCACAAAAAAAACGGAUGUUUCUAAUUUUGUGCAGAAAUGUGUUUACAUCUCUGUUUGCGAGCAUUUCUCCUUUGCCAAGAUAAUCCAUCCAUCUGACAGGUGUGGCAUAUCAAGAAGCAUUAUCCUAACACAGGUGCACCUUGUGCUGGGGACAAUAAAAUGCCACUUUAAAAU
This 5965-nucleotide long non-coding RNA is filed under the name Salmo salar (Atlantic salmon). RNAcentral describes it as "lncRNA (ENSSSAG00000111665.1)". Lineage: Eukaryota; Metazoa; Chordata; Actinopteri; Salmoniformes; Salmonidae. The record is from RNAcentral.